Molecule: ribosomal RNA, 468 nt
Filed under: uncultured bacterium
Lineage: Bacteria
Description: partial 16S ribosomal RNA
Rfam family: Bacterial small subunit ribosomal RNA
Source: RNAcentral
GACGAACGCUGGCGGCGUGCCUAACACAUGCAAGUCGAACGGAAAGGCCCUGCGUUUGUGCGGUGCUCGAGUGGCGAACGGGUGAGUAACACGUGAGUAACCUGUCCCUGACUUUCGGAUAACUUCAGGAAACUGGGGCUCAUAUCGCAUAGGAUCUCUUGCUGCAUGGUGGGCGUUGGAAAGUUUCGGCGGUUGGGGAUGGACUCGCGGCUUAUCAGCUUGUUGGUGGGGUAGUGGCUUACCAAGGCUUUGACGGGUAGCCGGCCUGAGAGGGUAACCGGGCACAAUAGGACUGAGAUACGGCGCAGACUCCUACGGGAGGCAGCAGUGGAGAAUAUUACACAGUGGGGUGGAGCCAGAUGCGACAGCGCCGCGUGCGGGAUGACGGGCUUCGGGUUGUGAACCAAUUUCGCAUGUGACGAAGCGUGAGUGACGGUAAUGGGUAAAGAAGCACCGGCUAACUACGUG